CAGCAGCCGCGGUAAGACGGAGGGUGCUAGCGUUGUUCGGAAUCACUGGGCGUAAAGGGCGCGUAGGCGGCCUGUUAAGUCGGAUGUGAAAGCCCGGGGCUCAACCCCGGAACUGCAUCCGAGACUGGCAGGCUUGAGACCGGGAGAGGAGGGUGGAAUAUCCAGUGUAGAGGUGAAAUUCGUAGAUAUUGGAUGGAACACCGGUGGCGAAAGCGGCUCUCUGGCCCGGAUCUGACGCUGAGGCGCGAAAGCGUGGGGAGCAAACAGGAUUAGAUACCCGGGUAGUCCCUGUCUCUUAUAA
Molecule: ribosomal RNA, 301 nt
Filed under: uncultured bacterium
Lineage: Bacteria
Description: partial 16S ribosomal RNA
Rfam family: Bacterial small subunit ribosomal RNA
Source: RNAcentral